ACGAACGCUGGCGGCGCGCCUAACACAUGCAAGUCGAACGGAGAUACCGAGAUAAUCCCUUCGGGGAGAAUUUCGACUAUCUUAGUGGCGGACGGGUGAGUAACACGUGAGCAACCUGCCUUACAGAGGGGGAUAACAUCUGGAAACGGAUGCUAAUACCGCAUAAUAUUUUCAAGUCGCAUGGCUUGGGGAUCAAAGAUUUAUCGCUGUAAGAUGGGCUCGCGUCCGAUUAGCUAGUUGGUGAGGUAAUGGCCCACCAAGGCAACGAUCGGUAGCCGGACUGAGAGGUUGAACGGCCACAUUGGGACUGAGACACGGCCCAGACUCCUACGGGAGGCAGCAGUGGGGGAUAUUGCACAAUGGGGGAAACCCUGAUGCAGCGACGCCGCGUGAGGGAAGAAGGUUUUCGGAUUGUAAACCUCUGUCCCCGGUGAAGAUAAUGACGGUAACCGGGGAGGAAGCCACGGCUAACUACGUGCCAGCCGCCGCUGUAAAAC
This 497-nucleotide ribosomal RNA is filed under the name uncultured bacterium. RNAcentral's name for it is "bacterial SSU rRNA". It matches the Rfam family "Bacterial small subunit ribosomal RNA", at positions 29 to 526 of the family's 1533-position model. The record is from RNAcentral.